GUCGUAACGAGGUUUCCGUAGGUGAACCUGCGGAAGGAUCAUUAUCGAAUAAAACUUGAACAGGCUGUUGCUGGCUCCCUCGGAUGCAUGUGCACGCUUGUCAUUUUUAUCUCAUUUCUCCUCUGUGCACCAACUGUAGGCCUGGAGUUUGGAUUGAAAUCCUUUCAGGUCUAUGUUUUUACAAUCUCUCAAUGUGUUUGGAAUGUCGAGUUGCAUAAUAUAUACAUACAACUUUCAGCAACGGAUCUCUUGGCUCUCGCAUCGAUGAAGAACGCAGCGAAAUGCGAUAAGUAAUGUGAAUUGCAGAAUUCAGUGAAUCAUCGAAUCUUUGAACGCAUCUUGCGCUCCUUGGUAUUCUGAGGAGCAUGCCUGUUUGAGUGUCAUCAAGUCCUCAACCAUAUUGAUUUUGCUUCGAUGUGGAUUGGAUAUGGGAGCCCAUGCAGGCCUUUCAAUUGAGAGGUCUGCUCUCCUGAAAUGAAUUAGUGGUGUCUGAGCAGUGACUUUUACUAUAUGGGUGUGAUAAUCAUUUAUGCCUUUGUGAAAUGCUGCGCAAACUGCUUCUAACCUCGUCGUUGACCAAUUUGACCUCAAAUCAGGUAGGACUACCCGCUGAACUUAAGCAUAUCAAUAAGCGGAGGAAAAGAAACUAACAAGGAUUCCCCUAGUAACUGCGAGUGAAGCGGGAAAAGCUCAAAUUUGAAAUCUGAUGGUUUUUGACCGUCCGAGUUGUAAUCUAGAGAAGUGUUUACCCGUGCUGGACUGUGUACAANUCUCCUGGAAUGGGGCAUCAUAGAGGGUGAGAAUCCCGUCUUUGACACGGACUGCCAGUGCACUAUGGGUGUGCUCUCGAAGAGUCGAGUUGUUUGGGAAUGCAGCUCAAAAUGGGUGGUAAAUGCCAUCUAAAGCUAAAUAUUGGCGAGAGACCGAUAGCGAACAAGUACCGUGAGGGAAAGAUGAAAAGAACUUUGGAAAGAGAGUUAAACAGUACGUGAAAUUGCUGAAAGGGAAACGCUUGAAGUCAGUCGCGUUGGCCAGAAAUCAGCCUUGCUUUUGCUUGGUGUAUUUUCUUGUCUUUACGGGUCAGCAUCAAUCUUGACCAUUGGAUAAGGUCUGUGGGAAUGUGGCAUCUUUGGAUGUGUUAUAGCCCAUGGUCGCAUACGGUGGUUGGGAUUGAGGAACUCAGCACGCCCGCGAGGGACGGGUUUCGACCACGUUUUCGUGCUUAGGAUGCUGGCAUAAUGGCUUUAAUCGACC
This 1254-nucleotide ribosomal RNA is filed under the name uncultured fungus. RNAcentral's name for it is "eukaryotic LSU rRNA". The stretch from base 583 to 1254 matches the Rfam family "Eukaryotic large subunit ribosomal RNA", at positions 1 to 649 of the family's 3401-position model. Lineage: Eukaryota; Fungi. The record is from RNAcentral.